RNAcentral lists this ribosomal RNA (274 nucleotides) under uncultured bacterium. RNAcentral describes it as "partial 16S ribosomal RNA". It matches the Rfam family "Bacterial small subunit ribosomal RNA", at positions 523 to 796 of the family's 1533-position model. The record is from RNAcentral.
AUACGGAGAGUGCAAGCGUUGUUCGGAAUCAUUGGGCGUAAAGGGCGUCUAGGUGGACUGUCAAGUCAGGUGUGAAAUCCCUCGGCUCAACCGAGGCCGUGCAUUUGAAACUGGUAGUCUUGAGUACUGGAGGGGCUAGCGGAAUUCCUGGUGUAGAGGUGAAAUUCGUAGAUAUCAGGAGGAACACCAGUGGCGAAGGCGGCUAGCUGGACAGAUACUGACACUGAAGCGCGAAAGCAUGGGGAGCAAACAGGAUUAGAUACCCCGGUAGUCC